CACCUCUAAGGAAGGUCAGAAGGCUACACAGGAUGAGAGAAGAAACAUGCCUUCCAAAAAGGUCUAAGACCUGAUUGUGGAGGAUGAGGAACUAGGAGCCCAGAUGGCCGCCACUGCAGCUUCGCAACCAAAGUAAUGGAACUUUCUAAAACUUCUCAUGCCAAAAGGAGAUGACCAUUGAAGCAUUCCCUCAGAGCAUUCAUCGACUGAUCGAAGGAAAAAGGAUAUCUUCCAAGA
This 237-nucleotide long non-coding RNA is filed under the name Elaeis guineensis (African oil palm). RNAcentral's name for it is "long non-coding RNA (EGUI_LNC002126)". Lineage: Eukaryota; Viridiplantae; Streptophyta; Magnoliopsida; Arecales; Arecaceae. The record is from RNAcentral.